RNAcentral lists this long non-coding RNA (579 nucleotides) under Heterocephalus glaber (naked mole-rat). RNAcentral describes it as "lncRNA (ENSHGLG00000038735.1)". Lineage: Eukaryota; Metazoa; Chordata; Mammalia; Rodentia; Bathyergidae. The record is from RNAcentral.
CUGCAUUCCAAGCAGUGCUACUCUGAUUGUUGAAAGAUUGGCUAUUAGUUAUCUAGGGAGUAUAUCUAUGAACAAGUGCAUUCUACUUAGAAAACCUCAUCUAUGUUAUAUUUGAAACUUUCAGUUUAUUUUUAAAGGACAGGAAAGUGUAGGGGGCCAUCCUAUGAGUUUGCUCCUUUCUAGAGGGCGAAUGGGGAAGAAAGACAAAAAGAGUUAGUUUAGAAUGCCGGGACAGGGGCUCUCUGUCUCGAGUUGAACCGGAGCCCUGAGCAUUUGGCUCACCUCACUUUUAUUCACUUGGACACGUCGAACUCGGGACCUUGUGCUUUUGAGGCAGGCAGUGGAACCACUGAGCUAAAUCCCUGGCCCCUAAACCACUACAUCACUGGGGAUUGGACCCAGGACUUUCACACUGAGCUAUGUCACCACCUCUUUUUUAUUUUUUCAUUUUGAGAUAGCAUCUUGUGAAGUCACUAAGUUGCCCAGGCUGGGCUUGAAUUUACAGUCCUCUUGCCUUAGACUUCUGGAGUGCUGGGAUUACAGGCCGUGGAGAAAGCACUUAAAAAAAAUAAUUGCUAG